CAUUGACAAAUUUUCCCCCAUGGUGAAAGACCACUUCGACAUCACAGUUACCCAUCUCAAUUAAUAUAAAAAAUAAUGUCAGACAAUAUCAUCUUUUAACUAAAUAACACUACAUUUAUUUGACCAAAAUAACACUACAUUUACAGUAAGCAAUACUUAGUACUAUAAACACACCCUAAACACAUCAUAAACACAUCCUAAUGUGACUAAGAAAUUACGCUUCCAGAAAGCACUUUAAACACACCAUAAACAAUUAAAAUAGUUUUGUACUGAACCCUAAACAAUGGGGGACAACACAAAACACUUUAACCUGCACAAUGGGGGACCACAACAGAACACCUAUAAUGGGGGCAACAACCAAACAUAAAUAAUACUUAAUGGGGGACAACCAAACAGAAAUAAUAGUUUAUAGGGGACCACAACAAAAGCAAACACACACACGAAGCAAACAAGCACACCAAAGCAACCAUAAACCAAAUGAAACCAAUGUUACACACACCUUCGAAUGGACCUUGGAAUAGAACCCACUUCGCACUUCCAAAUACACCACGAACAAUGCCAAUAGCACUUCCAAAUCACCACACGCGCAUAUACUUUCGAAAGCCCAAAUGCGAUUUUUCACUUUUCGUCAAUUUUGAUUUCGAAAGCCCUAAUUUCACUCUUCGUCAACUCACACAAAACCCCUAAUUUUAUUUUGUUCAACAAUUAAAAACCCUUAAAUCAUUUAUUAAUUAAAUUUUCCCAAUUGUAUCUAAAUAAUUGACAUGGUUG
Molecule: long non-coding RNA, 771 nt
Filed under: Vigna radiata
Lineage: Eukaryota; Viridiplantae; Streptophyta; Magnoliopsida; Fabales; Fabaceae
Description: long non-coding RNA (VRAD_LNC001009)
Source: RNAcentral